Molecule: long non-coding RNA, 1143 nt
Filed under: Ananas comosus (pineapple)
Lineage: Eukaryota; Viridiplantae; Streptophyta; Magnoliopsida; Poales; Bromeliaceae
Description: long non-coding RNA (ACOM_LNC018784)
Source: RNAcentral
AACGAGAUGUUUCAUGCACAUGCCGUAGAGUAGCAACACUUUUUGAGGCGAAUAAUGAGUUGCAUGGAAGUUGGAAUUGUGGGACCAUUGGCGCUAAUCAUUAAUUCUAAAAAUUCAAAUUAUUAGAAACCCACAAUUAAUUUAUUUCAAAUAUAAUACCCACAAGUCUCGAUUGUGAUUCAUCCUAACCAAUCUUACGCUACUUCGAAUAUGACUUAGCCUAAUCCAGCCUCACGCCAUUUCGAAUAUACUCGGUCCAAUCUGAUCUCCCAUCAGAAGGCAGGAUACUAGUCUAUUUAAACCAAUAGGAAUAUCACUUUGUUUUGCUCGAAAAAGUGGUGAUUUUUCAUAGAUAAAUAAUGUAAUCAAAAAAUUGAGCCCUAUAUAUACUUUUAAAAGUACCAAGUCAUUGGCACUUAUAGGUUUUGGCUCUUAAAUUAAGGAAUGUGUUGUUAGAAUAAUAGUGAUCCAUUAAAGUUUAGUGGAUGGUUGGUUUAAUAGUAUAGUCUACCAGGUGAAAAUGAUCCAAAUGAUAGAUCUAACGGCGAAAAAUUUACAAACCACUACAACAGAAUUAGUUUAUAGGGACACAUGUUUGGGACACUUUUGAGUAAGUGUCUCAUUUAUGCUAAAACUUAAAAAAAUAUCUACUAAUGCCUAAAUAUAAAGCUCAAUCCAACCAAAAAUAAAAGAUUACUCUACUCAACCCACCACACCCAGUCCAUUUGGUCCGAUUACAAACAGAAAAGAAAAAAAAAGAAAAAUUAAUUACCAUCUUUUCUUCUCUCUUCACUCAAUUCACUGAAAUUCUAGACGAAGAGCCUUUCCUGUCGUCCUCCUCCGCCACCGCAGCCAACAAGAUAGAGUUUCGACGGUUGCUAAAUGCUUAAAUAAGUGUUGGUAAAUUUGCAGUACUCUUUAGGUUAUAGCGACACUCUUUAACUGUCACUAUAUAUCUAGCGACCCCACAUAUAGCAACACUUUUUAAAAGUGUCGGUAAUUUUAGCUAGCAGCACUUUUUUGACAUGUACCUAUAUUUAAAAGUGUCGUUAUAGAUCGUUUUUGUUGUAGUGUACAUCAAAUACUUGUAAAUUUUAAAAGCACCGUAGCCGGACUCUAAGUUAGGCAUUCGGUCGUUAGAAA